Molecule: long non-coding RNA, 2505 nt
Filed under: Mus musculus (house mouse)
Lineage: Eukaryota; Metazoa; Chordata; Mammalia; Rodentia; Muridae
Description: predicted gene, 32498, transcript variant 3 (Gm32498)
Source: RNAcentral
AUUGACUAGCUUGAGUCCGACCGGAGAGCAUCAAGGCCCGCAGAGCCCGCGCUAAGUCUCGGCGGCGGCGCCCAGGGCUGAGCCGUGGUAGCCCUGGUGUUUAGAGGGUGUCUUCCUCUAGAAAGAGAAAAGUUUGGCAGUGAUUUGAUUUCAACUGGGGAUAGGAUGUAAAGCCAGGCGUGGGGAAUCACCGUAUACUUUGCAGAGAGAGGCAGCUGCGGUCUUCCUGGUGCCUUCUAGUCCACACACCAACCCACGUCGUCAGCUUACACACAGACACACACAGACACACACACACACACACACACACACACAAACACUGGGCCAAGGGAGUUGCGGAUUUUCUGACUCCUUGUGCACUCAUCUGGAGGUGCGGAGUGGGUGCGUGCGCGCGCAUGCGUGCGCGCGCCCGAGAGAGAGCGAGAGAGAGAGAGAGAGAGAGAGAGAGAGAGAGAGAGAGAGAGAGAGAGAGAGAGAGCGUGUGUGUGUGUGUGUGUGUGUGUGUGUGUGUGGUGUAUGUACGCGUUUUCUCACGGUGGGAUGUUUAUUUCGGUGAACGCCAGGAAAGUGCAGUGUUAGAGAUCUGUCUGUGCUAGCUAGCUCGGGAGCAAACACGCCGCAAGCAACUGUAAUCAAUAUGUAACUUUCUUCAUCCUCAGAGAAAUCCCCGCUGUCCCCAGGCACCCAUGCAAGGAAAGUCACUUGAUUAUGAAAGUGUUUCAGAAGAAAAGCAGACGCCGGUGGAGAGAGAGGCAGUGUCUCGAAGGAGGGAACAAGCCUCUCUUAAGACAUGUUUUGCAGCUCCAUGAAACUGAAAUCUGGUUGAACAGUGUUUAGACUUCUACCUUUUAACCAUCUCCUAUCACAGCCCACAUUCAAGCUUUAGAAUCUCAAAGCUUGCUUUUGUCUGAACUGCUUUCACAAACAUCCACAAGUUACGAUCAGUUUUGGUUCUGAUCUAGCAGUUCUGGAGCAGAGUUAAGAGGGACAAAGGAAAACAAUCCGUUGAAAUAGAGAAGUGACAGGCAGUGAAAGAUACUUCUUAGAAAAUGUUGACUCCUCUGGAAUAAAGCACUGCUAUGAGGCACUGGUUGGGAAAUUCAUGAGAAAGGAAACUGACUCUUAGAAAACAUGCCAGGUUAAAGGGUUCUGACAUUGACAACAGAAGAAAAAAGGUGAGCUGAAGAAGGACAGCAGCAAUAGACAUGCAAAUGCAGAUGGAGGAAAGCCAAGGCUGGCUAAGGACAACAAAAGAAUGUGAGAGGAGAUGAAAUAAUCUUUCACAAGGAAGAGCUCACAAAUUGAUUAUCCAAUACUAACUUGUCAGUCUUUAAAACACAUACAUAGAAAUAACAUCAUACAGACUGUGCACGUUGUGCUAAGCAUUGAAUAAUGUAUGUAUAUGUGUGCAUGCACAUGUGUGUGUGUGUGUGUGUGUGUGUGUGUAGCAAUAUUUAGUGAAAAAAGAAGUCUUGAAUUUGAGAGGAGAACACCAGGAAGAAAGAAAAGAAGUAAAAAUAAUGUUAAUUAAAAUGUGAAAAAUCAAAGAAAGAAAAACAUGUCAGUUAAUAGAAUGAAAUAUGGAGGCAGGAGGGUCACAAACUUAUGAACAUUUUAGAUUGUAUAACAUGACUGCCUAAAAAUCCUAAACCAUAGAAAUCAGCAAUAAAAACUUAAAAAACAAUCAGAUUUUUAGAGAAAAGAGACAAAGAACUUUUAUGACUCUACUACGUCAGCCAUUUGCAACAAAUUCUUCUUUGUGUCCUUUGUCUGGAUUUCUGCCUAAUAUCACUUUUAGCUUUCAGUUUAUGUAUUCUUGUUAUCUCAGUAAUACUCUGUGCAUUUCUUUGUUUCUCCAUAAACUUUCUCAAGCUUCAAAGACUUGUUGUAAUUGACAUUAUUUUCACUCAUGGUUUUAAAAAAUAUUGUUACCUAUUCAACUCUGCAAAGUUCCUUUAGUUGAAAACAUUCUUCCAUGACAAUAAAUCAAUUGGUCAUAUGCUUUUGCUCGCGUUGGGGACCUUGACCUGCUCCUGGGUUGCUUCCUCCGCCCUUAAUAUGAAAGAAGGUGACUAGUCUUACUUCAACUUGAUAUGCCGUGUUUAGUUGAUAGUCCUGGGAGGUUUAGCCUUUUUGGAAGGAAAACAGUGAAGAAUAGAUAGGAAGGGAAGAGGAGGUGGGGUAGGAGUGGGAAGUGGGAGACUGGAUCAACAAGAGGGACGGGAACCUAUAUUUAGGAUUCAAUUAUAUGAGGAUAAAUUAAUAGACAAAACCAAAACAAUCCUCCCAAAAAUCAACAAAAAUUUGACUGGUCAUAAAUGGGUGUGAAAGAUAAUCCUUCUGAUUACCUCAUUGAAAUCAACUCUGACGAAGGCUGUUCCAUAGGGUACAGAUUGUAUAUUUUUAUUAUUUUAGUUUUGGACAUUUAUUCCCAACCUUUUUAAUAUAUGGUCAUUAUUUUCAGUGGAUGUAAGUGCUUCAAUAAAGCAAGAGAUGUUUAACAUA